Molecule: small nucleolar RNA, 92 nt
Filed under: Gossypium hirsutum (cotton)
Lineage: Eukaryota; Viridiplantae; Streptophyta; Magnoliopsida; Malvales; Malvaceae
Description: Plant small nucleolar RNA R71
Rfam family: Plant small nucleolar RNA R71
About the family: R71 is a member of the C/D box family of snoRNAs containing the C (UGAUGA) and D (CUGA) box motifs.
Source: Rfam by way of RNAcentral
AUGCUGUGAUGAGGGAACUUUCGUCGCUCCCAUGCCUCAUAUAAAGAUUCUUCAUCAAGUUGUUGAAAUGAAGUGAUUUCAUUUCAGAUAUU